GUGGGAAGAUUAUGCAUGCUAAGGAAGGGGGAGUGGGGAGGGGGAGAGAGAGAGAGGACAAGGAGAAGUAUCAGUGGUUGUCUGGAUGUUACAAUUAGAUAAUACAAAUAUUCCUCUAUAUGCUCUUGCUACAAAAAGUGCAAGGGCUAUACUCAAUCCACCUGAAGCCUUAAGGAAAUUUGGAAGUUAUAUUCUUAAAUCCAAGUUAUCGUUCUAUAGCCAUUUGCCCCUUGUUCGGAACAUCAUGAGACAGUUUGCGCCACAUUUCGUGUGGUUGUUGGAGCAUUUAAAGGAUUUUUCCUGAGCACAAGAAGAGCGACACUUGGUCACGAUAGAAAUCCAUUAUGCAUCAACUCAUCUGGGAUGUGUUGCCUAAGUUAAAGAUACAUGGCUUGAGUCUGAACUGUUGAAGAUGAAACUAAUAGUUAUAAAGAUAGUCUUGUCAUAUUUGAAAGAGCACGUAAUGGUUCUCUUCAUUGCAGACAGGAACUUUGUAGGGCUUCUGAAUACUAAAAGACAGAAGUGACUCAAAAUCUGAGUGAUCUUUAACUGCUUUAAGAGUGUAAUAUGUUGGACGUGUCCUGGCACACAUCUCUUUCAUUGGUUAGGACACAUUGCAUGACAUCAGGCUAACAACUUAAUAUUCGUAGGUUAUGAAACCACAUUAGUUUUUAGAUUAUAGUUUCAUUUCACUGAUGCUGAUUAGAUAACCAUUCAGAAGAAAAAUGUUGUACGGUGUAUGGUGCUGUCUGGGUGUGUGGUGACACUUAAGGUGCUGUUCUGUCUCUUUGUCAUGAUUUUUGACUGGUCUGACAGAUCUGCUUCCUUCGAUUGCAUUUUGCAGGACAACUUCACAGCAGCUAUUACAUAUUAUCACAAAGCUUUGCGAUUAAAACCAGAUGAUCAAUUCUGCACUGAGAUGUUAAGUCUGGCUCUUAUCGAUGAAUGCCGUCGUGGUGUAGACUCGAAGUUCGAGUACCGUUAAGAUAAGGUGGUUGGUUGAUCUCAUCUGUGGAGUUGUUGUACGUGCCUGUAAUUGCAGGAAAAA
This is a long non-coding RNA of Syzygium oleosum, 1048 nucleotides long. RefSeq lists it as uncharacterized. NCBI's taxonomy places the organism in Eukaryota, Viridiplantae, Streptophyta, Magnoliopsida, Myrtales, Myrtaceae. The transcript has 2 exons. The record is from RefSeq and is a predicted model, not a curated record.